AGUGAACGCUGGCGGUAGGCCUAACACAUGCAAGUCGAGCGGCAGCACAGUAAGAGCUUGCUCUUACGGGUGGCGAGUGGCGGACGGGUGAGGAAUACAUCGGAAUCUACUUUUUCGUGGGGGAUAACGUAGGGAAACUUACGCUAAUACCGCAUACGACCUACGGGUGAAAGCAGGGGAUCUUCGGACCUUGCGCGAUUGAAUGAGCCGGUGUCGGAUUAGCUAGUUGGCGGGGUAAAGGCCCACCAAGGCGACGAUCCGUAGCUGAUCUGAGAGGGUGAGAGGCAAAAAGGGAAAGGAGAGAAGGUAAAGACUGAUAAGGGAGGCAGGAGUAGGGAAUCUUCAGCAAGGGGCGAAAGAAUGACGGAGCAACGUCGAGUGAGUGAUGAAGGUAUUAGGAUCGUAAAAAUCUGUUAUUAGGGAAGAAAAAAUGUGUAAGUAACUAUGCACGUCUUGAAGGGACCUAAUCAGAAAGCCACGGCUAAAUACGUG
RNAcentral lists this ribosomal RNA (492 nucleotides) under uncultured bacterium. RNAcentral's name for it is "partial 16S ribosomal RNA". It matches the Rfam family "Bacterial small subunit ribosomal RNA", at positions 29 to 507 of the family's 1533-position model. The record is from RNAcentral.